UUAAAAAGCUCGUAGUUGGAUUUCUGCUUGAGAGGGACGGCAGGCGUCAUUGACGUUUAGUCUGACUUCUCGUGCAUCCUGUCGCGAACCACGUUGCUCUUAAUUGAGUGGCGUCGGGGAUCGAUUCGUUUACUUUGAGAAAAAUAGAGUGUUCAAAGCAGGCUUACGCAUCUGAAUAAGUUAGCAUGGAAUAAUGAUAAAGGACUUUGGUUCUAUUUGUUGGUGUUCGGAACUGAAGUAAUGAUUGAUAGGGACAGUUGGGGGCAUCAGUAUUUCGAAGCGAGAGGUGAAAUUCUAGGACCUUCGAAAGACUAACCGCUGCGAAAGCGUUUGCCAAGGAUGUUCCCUUUGAUCAAGAACGAAAGUUGGGGGAUCGAAGACGAUCAGAUACCGUCGUAGUCUCAACUAUAAACUAUACCAGCUAGGGAUCGGCCGGCGUUUAUUUCUAAGGGCCCGGUCGGCACCUUAUGAGAAAUCAAAGCAUUUGGGUUCCGGGGGGA
This 500-nucleotide ribosomal RNA is filed under the name uncultured marine eukaryote. RNAcentral's name for it is "SSU rRNA". It matches the Rfam family "Eukaryotic small subunit ribosomal RNA", at positions 619 to 1122 of the family's 1831-position model. The record is from RNAcentral.